This 457-nucleotide long non-coding RNA is filed under the name Brassica napus (rape). Its description in RNAcentral is "long non-coding RNA (BNAP_LNC023359)". Lineage: Eukaryota; Viridiplantae; Streptophyta; Magnoliopsida; Brassicales; Brassicaceae. The record is from RNAcentral.
AAUAUUUGAUUACUGAAAAUAAUGCAUUGGUAACUAAAAUCUGAUAUAUAUAUUUUUAAUAUGUAUGAAAAACCUAAAAUGUACAUCUUUCUGAAACGGAGUGAGUACUAUUCAAAUUCAUGACUUUUAAUUUAUAGGAAUAAAUGUAUAUUUUGUUUUUUUCUCUUGUAUACAUACAAAUUUUAUUAUUUGUUUUGUUGAAAGUUUUGUUUAUUGAUCAUAGGCAUAUUAAUAUGAUUUUUUAUCUCGGAAUUUUACAGUAUUUAUUUUUGUAUGCUGAAAUUUUUUUCAUAUUUUCAGUACCUAGUUAUACAAAUAAUAGGUACAUGUGUUUUUUAGAAUUUAUUUUGAUCCCGCAAACUUGAGCAAAACUUUUCAUCAUGUCAUCUCAUCCAUGUUUUCCUAUAACCUUAGAUUCAUUAGAUAUACUCAUUAGAUACCUAGUUAGAACUCUUUU